This 425-nucleotide ribosomal RNA is filed under the name uncultured bacterium. RNAcentral describes it as "bacterial SSU rRNA". It matches the Rfam family "Bacterial small subunit ribosomal RNA", at positions 355 to 796 of the family's 1533-position model. The record is from RNAcentral.
UGAGGAAUUUUCCACAAUGGACGAAAGUCUGAUGGAGCAACGCCGCGUGCAGGAAGACGGCCUUCGGGUUGUAAACUGCUUUUUCUAGUGAAGAUUAUGACGGUAGCUAGAGAAUAAGGAUCGGCUAACUACGUGCCAGCAGCCGCGGUAAUACGUAGGAUCCAAGCGUUAUCCGGAAUUACUGGGCGUAAAGCGUACGUAGGUGGAUGUUUAAGUGAGAUGCGAAAUCUGGCGGCUCAACCGUCUAGACUGUAUCUCAUACUGGGCAUCUCGAGGUUGGCAGAGGCAAGUGGAAUUUCCGGUGUAGCAGUGAAAUGCGUAGAUAUCGGAAGGAACACCAAUGGCGAAGGCAGCUUGCUGGGCCACACCUGACACUGAGGUACGAAAGCGUGGGGAGCGAACAGGAUUAGAUACCCCGGUAGUCC